This 245-nucleotide unclassified non-coding RNA is filed under the name Hevea brasiliensis (rubber tree). The record is from RNAcentral. Lineage: Eukaryota; Viridiplantae; Streptophyta; Magnoliopsida; Malpighiales; Euphorbiaceae.
AAGGGAUGAUUAAAUUAAAUUUUGUACAUGAUAACCUAAUACUGCUGAUUGAACAAAUGAGCUAGUUAGGGCAAAAUAUAUGGAUCCAAGGCUGAUGAUUGUAGAAAAUUUAAUUUAAUCAUCCCUUAGCUUAGAGCGCAUGAGGGUACAUCAUUUUCUUCCUUUUGUUGUUGCAGUGACGUUAGACGCACGACUAGUAUGUCUAAGGCUUCUUUCAUCCACCAAUGCCUACAAGCAUCUUUGGC